AGCCGAAGUCUGGUGAAAAUUAGAGGCGGAAAACACGUUGGUUCUACUUUAGGAAUGGCAAACAAGGGGAAAGCCUGCAGGCCUGGCAGAGCUGGCCUAGGAUUGGACAGGCCUGUUACCUUCUCCGGUGUGCAAACGGCCGCUCACGAAAUCGCACAUCUGUUGAACGCUCCUCACGACGGCGAUCCAGAAGCGAAGGAGUGCCCAUCAGAAGACGGAUAUUUGAUGAGUAGCCCACGAAGAAGCGGAAAUAACAGCUGUGCGUUUUCCUACUGCACAAAGAAGAUUAUUGCCGACUUUCUAACGUGGCCUUACUCAAAGUGCCUAUUGAAGAAUGCAUUAUGCCAUGUUAUUUCCCUGCCAAACAAGGCGGCAAAUCUACCAGGGGAUGCUAUGGAUGGACCCACGUUCUGCAAGGAAUACUACCGAAAACCGAGAUACGCGAACUCUACUUACCUAAAGCUGGAUUCCGACCUCAAAGAGUGCGUAUUCCGCUGUUUGGUAGAAUACACUAAUCCUAAAGGGAAGAUGGAGAAUCGCACAUCAUUUGCUAUGGAUGGAACGCCCUGCUCUGAAUCUGA
This is a non-coding RNA of Dermacentor albipictus, 581 nucleotides long. The record is from RefSeq and is a predicted model, not a curated record. NCBI's taxonomy places the organism in Eukaryota, Metazoa, Arthropoda, Arachnida, Ixodida, Ixodidae.